AGGGGGCGUUCCGCAGCCGAUACUGAGCCGUGAACAUAAAAUACCAGGAAAUGUUCUUUAAACAGCUCAGCACAGUCACUGCUCCCAGAACCACAGCCGCCGUUUUCUCACUGCAAUAUUUACUUUUCAGCUUCUGGCAACAAAUGGCCACAAACCGAUCAAAGGUGAAAGUGACGGUGAACCAGACAGAGCAGUCAGUGGCUGCAUAAAGCAGGACGGCGUGGAUAUUACACACGGGGACGGAGUCCCUCAGGAAAUAAAACUGUUCCUUAUAAACAAUGGGAAUGUGUCUCAGGAUCAGGUCGAGGAUAAUGACCAGGAGAUCCGCCGCUGCCAUGGCCCCCAGAUCUCCCGUUAUGCUGAUGGAGUAGAGAAGGACAAUGAUCUUCCAACAAUGUUCCGUAUUCCCCCAGAGAGCUGAGACUGCUCUAACCUGGGUGGGAACUUUACAGCAGGUUGAUAAAGUGUUGCAGCUUCUGUACAGGAAGAUCACAUCUGGAGUAGUGUGUACAGAUUUAGCCUCUUCUCUGAAGAAAGGAUGUUGUUAUAUUGGAAGCAGCUCAGAGAUGGUUCCCUCAAAUGAUUCCUGCAAUGAAGGUGCUAGCUUAUAACGAAAGGAUGAUCAGGUUGACCCAGUAGCCGUUGGAGUUUACAAAAAAUAAAGAUGAUCUUAUUUGAACAAAUUUGACAGAAGGAGUUAACAAGUGAAGGGAAUUACACAGAUAGUGGAGGAAUCCAUUCCGUUCUCCAGCCUGUUACACAGGAACAACAGGAUGAUAUUCAGGACUUCGACACUGAUACACCAAAAUAGGACGAGGCUAUUCAGCCCCUGGAGCCUGAUAUACAUUUAGAGAAGGAGGCCAAUCAGCCCCUCGAGCCUAUAACAGUAGACCAUGCUGCAAAAAUGGUCAAACGGUAGGGUUUGGGGCCUAGCUUUGCUGCUCCUCUCCCUUGUAAAAUUGCUGUAUUCUUUACAGCUGUAAAUGUUUAUUGUAAACUGUUUUGUAAUUUGUUUAAUAAAAUAAAAAAAAAUAGACCAUG
Hemiscyllium ocellatum (epaulette shark) is the source of this 1041-nucleotide long non-coding RNA. RefSeq lists it as uncharacterized. The transcript is spliced from 2 exons. NCBI's taxonomy places the organism in Eukaryota, Metazoa, Chordata, Chondrichthyes, Orectolobiformes, Hemiscylliidae. The record is from RefSeq and is a predicted model, not a curated record.